AAGAAAGUAAGAAAGGGCGCAUGGCGGAUGCCUUGGCUCACGGAGGCGAUGAAGGACGUGAUAAGCUGCGAUAAGCCUUGGGUAGGUGCAAAUAACCUUUGAUCCAAGGAUUUCCGAAUGGGACAACCCAGCAGGUUGAAGACCUGUUAUCACUACAAUAGUAGUGAGGCGAACGAAGGGAACUGAAACAUCUUAGUACCUUUAGGAAGAGAAAAUAAAUAAUGAUUCCCCUAGUAGUGGCGAGCGAACGGGGAAUAGCCCAAACCUGCUUUGUGGCAACGCUUAGCAGGGGUUGUAGGACCACGCUGUCGUACUUAGAUUGUGAGAAGAAUGUUCUGGAAAGAACAAUCAUAGAGGGUGAUAAUCCCGUAUUCGAAGCAUGACGAGACGUAGUGGUAUCCUGAGUAACGCGGAACACGUGAAAUUCUGCGCGAAUCUGCCGGGACCAUCCGGUAAGGCUAAAUACUCCCGUGAGACCGAUAGUGCA
Molecule: ribosomal RNA, 487 nt
Filed under: Porphyromonadaceae bacterium
Lineage: Bacteria; Pseudomonadati; Bacteroidota; Bacteroidia; Bacteroidales; Porphyromonadaceae
Description: partial 23S ribosomal RNA
Rfam family: Bacterial large subunit ribosomal RNA
Source: RNAcentral